GAUGAAGAACGCAGCGAAAUGCGAUACUUGGUGUGAAUUGCAGAAUCCCGUGAACCAUCGAGUCUUUGAACGCAAGUUGCGCCCGAAGCCAUUAGGCCGAGGGCACGCCUGCCUGGGCGUCACACGUCGUUGCCCCCCCAUCUACUCCUUCGGGAUUGCGGGGGGCGGAUGAUGGCCUCCCGUGCGCCUCGUCGCGCGGUUGGCAUAAAUGCCAAGUCCUCGGCGACGCACGCCACGACAAUCGGUGGUUGCGAAACCUCGGUUGCCCGUCGUGUGCGGUCGUCGCGCAUCGAGGGCUCGAAAAAAUUGCCGGGCUCCGACUCGGCUUUCAACGCGACCCCAGGUCAGGCGGGGUUACCCGCUGAAUUUAAGCAUAUCAAUAAGCGGAGGA
RNAcentral lists this unclassified non-coding RNA (391 nucleotides) under soil metagenome. RNAcentral's name for it is "partial contains 5.8S ribosomal RNA, internal transcribed spacer 2, and large subunit ribosomal RNA". The stretch from base 1 to 122 matches the Rfam family "5.8S ribosomal RNA", at positions 35 to 154 of the family's 154-position model. The record is from RNAcentral.